Molecule: ribosomal RNA, 367 nt
Filed under: uncultured bacterium
Lineage: Bacteria
Description: bacterial SSU rRNA
Rfam family: Bacterial small subunit ribosomal RNA
Source: RNAcentral
GACGAACGCUGGCGGCGUGCUUAACACAUGCAAGUCGAGCGGUAAGGCCCUUUCGGGGGUACACGAGCGGCGAACGGGUGAGUAACACGUGGGUGACCUGCCCUUAGCUCUGGGAUAAGCCUGGGAAACUGGGUCUAAUACCGGAUAUGACUCCAUGACGCAUGUUGUGGGGUGGAAAGCCUUGUGCGGCUAGGGAUGGGCCUGCGGCCUAUCAGCUUGUUGGUGGGGUNAUGGCCUACCAAGGCGACGACGGUAGCCGGCCUGAGAGGGCGACCGGCCACACUGGGGACUGAGACACGGCCCAGACUCCUACGGGAGGCAGCAGUGGGGAAUCUUGCGCAAUGGGCGAAAGCCUGACGCAGCGACG